RNAcentral lists this long non-coding RNA (882 nucleotides) under Homo sapiens (human). RNAcentral describes it as "testis expressed 41". Lineage: Eukaryota; Metazoa; Chordata; Mammalia; Primates; Hominidae. The record is from RNAcentral.
AAAAGCUGUAUCGAUUGUUGAGAUCUGGCGACUUGUUUAAAUUUCAUCAGCCUCACUUCUAUGAACUCUCAGAGCUGAUUACCAACUCCUACCACUGUUAACCCUCAUCCAGGAACAAGCUUAUGUCUUUAACAUUCUGAGUGGGCUUCAGCAUCCUUGCAUAUGUUCAAUUCUUAAAAACCUGUUGAAAUAAAAGAUCAGGAGACAUAGGAAGGAUGCCAGAAGAGAGCGUGGCCUCACGUGUACCAGCUCUCUGCUCUCCUUUGCCUUGGGACGUUCCAUCCCUGGAAGUUUCCCUGCCCACAUCUUUGUAGAGAGUCCAUUCUCCAAGCUUCAGUGUGUCAUCUGUGAGGACCGUGACCCACCUGGUACAUCGCCUCAGGGCAUUCAUUUCAGGCUCCUUCUAAAUGGCCAAGUUUUCAAGAUUGUUUUGGCUCUAGCAAAACAAGUUGGAACAUUCACAUCAUCCAAGACAACACCAACAUUUUUGUAAUGGCCUGCAAGGCCUUCCGAGAUCUACCUCCUGCAACUCAGCUUCUCCUGUGCUCUCCUUCUGGACUCACUCUGCCUCAGCAACACUGGUCCCUGUUGCCCCACCAAUAUGCCAGUCAUCUAUGAACUGACUCUGUCUCAAAAAAAAAAAGAAAAAAAAGAAAAGAAAGAAUGAAAAAAAAAACUAGGACAUGGCUAACAGGAAUGGGGACAAAGAAUCUGCACUGAUGAGGAAACUGAAACAGAAAAUCCAGAGUAAAUUCCACCAGGCCACACAGCAAGGUCUGAUAGAGCCAGGAGAGACUUUAUGAAAUCCAGACUCUCACACUAAUGCUCUAUCAGCUAGACCUCCAUGUGAGUCUCCCCAAUGUAGGUAGGAAGUGCUUUCCC